AAUUCGCCCUUGAGCACGUAGGUGGGUUUGUAAGUCAGAUGUGAAAGCCUUCUGUUCAACGGAAGAAUUGCAUCUGAAACUGCGAGUCUUGAGUGUAGGAGGGGAGAAUGGAACUCCUGGUGGAGCGGUGAGAUGCGUAGAUAUCAGAAGGAACGCCGGCGGCGAAAGCGAUUCUCUGGCCUAUUACUGACACUCAGUGUGCGAAAGCUAGGGGAGCAAACGGGGUUAGAUACCCCGGUAGUCCUAGCCGUAAACGAUGGGCACUAAGUAGAGGGAAUUACCGAUGUUCUCUCUGCCGUAGCUAACGCAUUAAGUGCCCCGCCUGGAGAGUACGGCCGCAAGGCUAAAACUCAAAAGAAUUGACGGGGGCUCGCACAAGCGGUGGAGCAUGUGGCUUAAUUCGAUGCAACGCGAAAAACCUUACCGGGGCUUGACAUGUUAGAAGUAGGAACCUGAAAGGGUAACGAACGGUAUCCAGUCCGUAGCUAUCACAGGUGUUGCAUGGCUGUCGUCAGCUCGUGUCGUGAGACGUUGGGUUAAGUCCCCUAACGAGCGAAACCCUUGUUUUUAGUUACCAGCGGGUUGUGCCGGGUACCCUAGAAAGACUGCCGUCGUCAAGACGGAGGAAGGUGGGGAUGACGUCAAGUCAUCAUGGCCCUUAUGCCCCGGGCUGCACACGCGCUACAAUGGUCGGUACAAACGGAAGCGAAGCCGAGAGGUGAAGCGAAUCCAAGGGCGAAUU
Molecule: ribosomal RNA, 742 nt
Filed under: uncultured Planctomycetota bacterium
Lineage: Bacteria; Pseudomonadati; Planctomycetota
Description: bacterial SSU rRNA
Rfam family: Bacterial small subunit ribosomal RNA
Source: RNAcentral